GGGCAAUUAACUCAGCGGGAGAGUGCCACCUUCACCCGGUGGAAGUCACUGGUUCAAAUCCAGUAUUGCCCA
This 72-nucleotide transfer RNA is filed under the name Treponema sp. RNAcentral's name for it is "tRNA-Val". It matches the Rfam family "tRNA". Rfam says of the family: Transfer RNA (tRNA) molecules are approximately 80 nucleotides in length. Their secondary structure includes four short double-helical elements and three loops (D, anti-codon, and T loops). Lineage: Bacteria; Pseudomonadati; Spirochaetota; Spirochaetia; Treponematales; Treponemataceae. The record is from RNAcentral.